AUGGACCACCCGUACACUGCGGUUCUGAGUGCGCUGUCCGCACCCACCUGACGACUGCUCGCGACGUUGUGUUCGCC
RNAcentral lists this small RNA (77 nucleotides) under Xanthomonas oryzae. RNAcentral's name for it is "sX9 sRNA". It matches the Rfam family "Xanthomonas sRNA sX9". The record is from RNAcentral. Lineage: Bacteria; Pseudomonadati; Pseudomonadota; Gammaproteobacteria; Lysobacterales; Lysobacteraceae.